UGAGGAAUAUUGCGCAAUGGGCGAAAGCCUGACGCAGCAACGCCGCGUGAAGGAUGAAGGUGCUUUGCAUUGUAAACUUCUGUAGGGAGGGACGAAUCGCCGGUUUUGCCGGUAUUGACGGUACCUCCAAAGUAAGCACCGGCUAACUCCGUGCCAGCAGCCGCGGUAAUACGGAGGGUGCAAGCGUUGUCCGGAUUUACUGGGUGUAAAGGGCGUGUAGGCGGGAGAAUGUGUCGGAAGUGAAAUCGCGCGGCUUAACCGUGUCAAUUGCUUCCGAAACUGUUCUUCUUGAAUGCGAGAGAGGCAGAUGGAAUUCCAGGUGUAGCGGUGGAAUGCGUAGAUAUCUGGAAGAACACCAGUGGCGAAGGCGGUCUGCUGGCUCGUGAUUGACGCUGAGGCG
RNAcentral lists this ribosomal RNA (400 nucleotides) under uncultured bacterium. RNAcentral's name for it is "bacterial SSU rRNA". It matches the Rfam family "Bacterial small subunit ribosomal RNA", at positions 355 to 753 of the family's 1533-position model. The record is from RNAcentral.